This 179-nucleotide non-coding RNA is filed under the name Candidatus Parcubacteria bacterium. Lineage: Bacteria; Candidatus Parcubacteria. The record is from RNAcentral.
AAAUAAAUAUUUCGAGUAACUCCCCUGUUUUAGGGGUCGGUUAGGGAAACCGGUGACCCGCCUCGCGUCGACAAGCAACGCGAGUCGAGGCGGGAAAUCCGGUGCUGUGCCGCAACUGUGAGUCGCCGCUACUUCAGCGACAAGUCAGAUGACUAACCUAGUUACUCGCAAGGACCAAG